GAUUUCACUCUUGAUUGUAGGGUUUGUGCCGUUUGCUGCUGUUGUGUGAGACGAUCGGUGCUUCAAUGUGCCCCUACAAAAAGGAACAUAGCAAGGGUUUCAAUCUCUCUCUCUCUGAUGAUGAGGCUGAAUCAAUUGUUGAGGGUUACCAGGAUCAUCUCAUCUCUUCUCUUCGGUUGUAUCUGAAAUCAAAGGUGUUCCAUUCGAAGGAAGAAUAUAGAAAAUUGUUCAAAGGAAGGUGGACAGGUGUCAUAACCAUAGUUCUCAACAAUUCCAAGUUCGUAGUCACCUUCUAGAACCGUCCCGACGAGAUCGAGUUUGGGUUUUCGGAGUUGUAAGUUCACCGGGAGUGGGUCAACGGCAAAUGGGUCUAACCCGAAAAGCAGAUCGAUAUGGUACUUUAACUGGUUCUCGUAAGGGCGAGAAAGUUUCAAGGCAAGAGUAUUUGAAGAAAAUGGAGCAAAAGAAACUGAAGGAGCUUAGAGAUGAUAUAGAAGACGAGCAGUAUCUAUUUGAUGGUGUAAAAUUGACUGAGGCAGAAUAUGGUGAACUAAGUUGCUCUUAAUUGGUUCCCAUCAGAGAGGUGCAGUUGUAGCUGUUGUUUACUCACUGGUUUUGGUGCUUGUAAAGAGGUGCUACUACUGCUGUAUUGUUGCCGCUACUGGUAAACUGCUGAUGUAUGGUUUGGUGCUGCUAAACUGCUUAUUUUUCAAUUGUUCCUUUUCUUCUAGUGUGCUGGGCCCCUCCGUUACAUAAAUGUAAUAUGCAUUGGCAGGCUAUGAACUGGGGCAGUUGUGUGGACUGGUUAUCUGAGCAAUUCUCUGGUCAUUCUCUGACCACUAAUGCUAAGAAAUUAAUGCUUACUUGUACUACUUACUGUAUCUGGCAGGAGAGAAAUGCUAGGAUCUUCUCAUCUGUUUGUACUCCUGCUAAUGUGGUUGUGAGAAAAGUUGAAUCUCUGGUUAGGUGCAGGCUCUUAUCUGUUAACAACUUCAAGGAAGAUGGGGAUAAUGAUUGGUUUAUGGACUCAUGGCAUUCUCCUCAUAUAGUGUUGAGGGCACAUGCUCUUUGAGUUGUUUUUACUCUUACUUCCAGUGUCUAUAUAUAUUGUUGUGUGUUUGGAUCUUCCUCUUGCAGGUCUCCUAGAUCAGUCCUUUGGAGCUGCCUCAUUUUCCCCUUUGUAAUCAGGACUUUGCUGGUACUUACUUAGGGAUGUUGUGGGUUGAGUGAUUGUGAGCCUCCACAGUUAGUAUUGUGAUGGAGAUUAUUGAGAGUGAGUGUUGAGAGCCUAUAUAUGAGUGUUGUGUAAUGUGAGACAUCCAUAAUCCUAUUAUCUUGCUCAUUAUUUUCUUUGCAGGUUGUCAAUGCUGGUCUCUUGUAGGGAGAAGGGUUGAGAUGGUGGGGCUCUAUAGCUAGGUUUUUGUGGGUUGAGUGAUGGUGAGCCAUAUAGUUUAUCUAAUUCUUUUCUGCAGGUUGUCAAGCUGGUCCUAAUUGUAAGGGAGUUUUUUUUUGUUGAGGGUUGAGUGAUUGGUUAGCCCCAAUAAAUUUUUUUGGAGUGCUGUGUGUUGCAUCUUGAGGGUUGAGUGAUUGAGGACUAUUUGUUUCUGUGGGUCUACUCUACCCAGUCUUGCUGUCUAUUUGUAAUGAAUAUUUGUCAGUGUGUCCUUGCUGAGUUGUUACACAUAGGUUAUUGUAUCUGUUCAACCCCCCCAUAGGUCUGUAAUAUGUGGUAGUUCAAGUUUACAUCUGCAUUUGUCUUGGGGUUGGUCUUGGCAGAAGCUUGUUGUGAUAGACUAUGUUGCUAUUGGUUGCUGUUCUGCUGGCUGUGGUAUAUGCUGAAUUGCUGCUGUUGAGUUGAAAUUUGUGUAGUCCAUGUGUAGAUACUGCCCAUGGAUGGGUGUAUAUGGUUCUCUGCUAGUUGUUGAGUCUGUGGCUCCACUUGUGUGGCUUUGCUGGUGCUACUGUCUGUUGUCUGCUGUUUGCUGUCUGCUGUCAUGCUAACUGUGGUCUUAGCUGUGUUUGUGGUUCAUGCUGCCAUGAUGUUGCUACUAUAUUUCCUUCCCUGUAGCAGUGUUGUUUUCUUUAUAGUGCAUGCUCUGGUGCU
This is a non-coding RNA of Camellia sinensis, 2104 nucleotides long. The record is from RefSeq and is a predicted model, not a curated record. NCBI's taxonomy places the organism in Eukaryota, Viridiplantae, Streptophyta, Magnoliopsida, Ericales, Theaceae.